ACGGUACGGACUCUACAUGUCAAUACCGGCAACAAUGAAAUUUUUAGUAAGAGGAAAAUCCGUCGACUUAACAUCGUGAGNNN
RNAcentral lists this transfer RNA (83 nucleotides) under Calycobolus nutans. RNAcentral's name for it is "partial tRNA-Leu". The record is from RNAcentral. Lineage: Eukaryota; Viridiplantae; Streptophyta; Magnoliopsida; Solanales; Convolvulaceae.